GCUCCAGUUGCCGAAGCUGCGUUUCCAAGACUCGCGGCCCUGCGUUCCCAGGGAUAUCUGCAUGCUCACGUGAGCGUGGUCCUCGGCUUGGGACAGACAAGGGAGCCCCAGACAGGACGAUAAGGAAGCACGGUUUCGGGGAAGUGGCCAAGUGGCUUAAGUGAGGAGGGUCUGCUUGAAGGCGGCAGGUUUCCAGCGGGCUUCCUGAAGAGUUGAGCUUAUCACCGGCAUUCUGUGUCCCUUCAGGUUCCCUGAGAACUGGGUCAAGAAAGCAGGUUGGGGUAGGAAAAAAACGACACCCCCAUUUCAAACAAUAACUUUUAUUUUAUACUUCUCUAUACUUUGUAGCAAAUCUUUUUUUGCUGAAUUUAAUUUAUAAUAAACUUUUUAAAUUACAUCUCUUUUUUUAAAAUCAAGGCUCUUUUAUGUCAAAAUCUUUUUUUAGCUAUACUUUAGAUUAACAUUUAACAUCCCCCCCCUUGUGAUCUAUACCGUUGGAUAUUCAGGUAUUACUGUGUGUGUAACAGCUAAAACAAGAGGGAGGAGGGAAAAUAAAGGCAGUGAACUUGGACGGAUGCAUCAACAACAGCAGAUAAAGCUAACCCCUCAGUGACCAUAGCAGCAUGUCUUCUGGAAGCCUUUACUCUUACCCCAGAGAUUUCCUCAGCCCCUUCCCUCUCUCCCUCCUAUCCUUCAAACACAAAGCCAACAGUCUGUCCUUUCGCUUUUCUUGAGGAGAAAUGUGCAGUGGAAAUGAUCAAAACAAGAUACUGUGGAAGAACGACGUGAGCGUGAAUUAUUCACCGUAUGUUUCGUCCGUGGACAUCUCUCUUCAAUUCAUUCCCCUGGCCUUCUCCUCUCCUCGCCUUCCUAUUAGGAGGAGCCCAUCAUUUUUCAUGUUACUAGCAUGAUUAAUAUAGUAGGUGGCCCAGGGCCGUUCCUGAGAUUCUUUUGCCAACAAAAAAAAAAUUAAUAAUAAUAAAAUUAAAAAAUGGG
This is a long non-coding RNA of Nomascus leucogenys (northern white-cheeked gibbon), 996 nucleotides long. RefSeq lists it as uncharacterized. NCBI's taxonomy places the organism in Eukaryota, Metazoa, Chordata, Mammalia, Primates, Hylobatidae. The record is from RefSeq and is a predicted model, not a curated record. The transcript has 2 exons.